UGGGGAAUCUUGCGCAAUGGGCGAAAGCCUGACGCAGCGACGCCGCGUGGGGGAUGAAGGCCUUUCAGGUUGUAAACCCCUUUCGGCAGGGACGAAGCGAUCUCGUGACGGUACCUGCAGAAGAAGCCUCGGCUAACUACGUGCCAGCAGCCGCGGUAACACGUAGGAGGCGAGCGUUGUCCGGAAUCAUUGGGCGUAAAGAGCGCGCAGGCGGCUUGGCAAGUCGGGUGUGAAAUCCCGGGGCUCAACCCCGGGACUGCAUUGGAUACUGUCAGGCUAGAGGUAGGUAGGGGAGAUCGGAAUUCCUGGUGUAGCGGUGAAAUGCGCAGAGAUCAGGAGGAACACCGGUGGCGAAGGCGGAUCUAUGGGCCUUACCUGACGCUCAGGCGCGAAAGCUAGGGGAGCGAACAGG
RNAcentral lists this ribosomal RNA (412 nucleotides) under bacterium. RNAcentral describes it as "partial 16S ribosomal RNA". It matches the Rfam family "Bacterial small subunit ribosomal RNA", at positions 355 to 776 of the family's 1533-position model. The record is from RNAcentral.